UCCUACGGGAGGCAGCAGUAGGGAAUCUUCCACAAUGGGCGAAAGCCUGAUGGAGCAAUGCCGCGUGAGUGAAGAAGGUUUUCGGAUCGUAAAACUCUGUUGUUGAAGAAGAACAUGCGUGAGAGUAACUGUUCACGUAC
Molecule: ribosomal RNA, 140 nt
Filed under: uncultured bacterium
Lineage: Bacteria
Description: partial 16S ribosomal RNA
Rfam family: Bacterial small subunit ribosomal RNA
Source: RNAcentral